This 411-nucleotide ribosomal RNA is filed under the name Triticum aestivum (bread wheat). RNAcentral's name for it is "partial small subunit ribosomal RNA". Lineage: Eukaryota; Viridiplantae; Streptophyta; Magnoliopsida; Poales; Poaceae. The record is from RNAcentral.
AUGUGCGAGAACUUCUUAGGUUGUAGGCCACACUGGGGCCUUUUCAAGCAUAUUUUCACGUGUCGUUCCCAGUUGGUCAAGAAGGCCAACCCGAGUGAUGAGAGGACGCACGUGAUCCAGAUGUGCGGGGGUCUUGGGAUUCAAAUGAGAGGUAAAAGCACUUUCCCAGCCAUGAUCCUUCCCGAGUCAGUCCGAGGAUGGCAGUCGACCUGGUUCUAUUGCAAAGACCAGCCGACUCCAGGUCAAUCGACCGGACUUCCACCCUUCUCUAUGGUUCGGGUCGAAAAGCCCUCCGCCUUGAAAAUGAUCCCGAAGGAGAAGGCACAGGUGAAGGUGUUGGUCGAGCGGGUGGUCCAACUCGUCUGUGACGGCGUGACUGGCAUGGAUCUGCUGGAGGUCUUCCUUAAAUGA